RNAcentral lists this ribosomal RNA (250 nucleotides) under uncultured bacterium. RNAcentral's name for it is "partial 16S ribosomal RNA". It matches the Rfam family "Bacterial small subunit ribosomal RNA", at positions 1251 to 1500 of the family's 1533-position model. The record is from RNAcentral.
GAGACCGGGAGGUUAAGCAAAUCCCAAAAAUAACGUCUCAGUUCGGAUUGUAGUCUGCAACUCGACUACAUGAAGCCGGAAUCGCUAGUAAUCGCGGAUCAGAAUGCCGCGGUGAAUACGUUCCCGGGUCUUGUACACACCGCCCGUCACACCAUGGGAGCUGGAAAUGCCCGAAGUCGGUGACCCAACCUUCGGGAGGGAGCCGCCGAAGGCAGGUCCGGUAACUGGGGUGAAGUCGUAACAAGGUAAC